RNAcentral lists this ribosomal RNA (218 nucleotides) under uncultured bacterium. Its description in RNAcentral is "partial 16S ribosomal RNA". It matches the Rfam family "Bacterial small subunit ribosomal RNA", at positions 116 to 334 of the family's 1533-position model. The record is from RNAcentral.
CGUGGAUAACCUGCCUCACACAGGGGGAUAACAGUUAGAAAUGACUGCUAAUACCGCAUAAGCGCACGGCAUCGCAUGAUGCAGUGUGAAAAGCUCCGGUGGUGUGAGAUGGAUCCGCGUCUGAUUAGGUAGUUGGUGGGGUAACGGCCCACCAAGCCGACGAUCAGUAGCCGACCUGAGAGGGUGACCGGCCACAUUGGGACUGAGACACGGCCCAA